This 408-nucleotide ribosomal RNA is filed under the name uncultured bacterium. RNAcentral describes it as "partial 16S ribosomal RNA". It matches the Rfam family "Bacterial small subunit ribosomal RNA", at positions 28 to 526 of the family's 1533-position model. The record is from RNAcentral.
GACGAACGCUGGCGGCGUGCUUAACACAUGCAAGUCGAACGAAGUGGCGAACGGGUGAGUAACGCGUAAUCAACCUGCCCUUCAGAGGGGGACAACAGUUGGAAACGACUGCUAAUACCGCAUACUGAAGGAGGGGCUUGCGUCUGAUUAGCUGGUGGGCGGGGUAAAGGCCCACCAAGGCGACGAUCAGUAGCGGGUCUGAGAGGAUGGUCCGCCACCCUGGGAAUGAGACCCGGCCCAGACUCCUACGGGAGGCAGCAGGGGGGAAUUUUGGACAAUGGGCGCAAGCCUGAUCCAGCCAUGCCGCGUGUCUGAAGAAGGCCUUCGGGUUGUAAAGCUCUGUUAAUCGGGACGCGGUACCGGAAUAGAAAGCCACGGCUAACUACGUGCCAGCAGCCGCGGUAAUUC